Long non-coding RNA from Syzygium oleosum, 312 nucleotides. RefSeq lists it as uncharacterized. NCBI's taxonomy places the organism in Eukaryota, Viridiplantae, Streptophyta, Magnoliopsida, Myrtales, Myrtaceae. The transcript has 3 exons. The record is from RefSeq and is a predicted model, not a curated record.
GGCAAGGUUAGGCUCGCAUUUGUUCCAUAAAAACGGAACUGUCAAGCAAAAUAAUCAGUGGCUGAUCACUGGAUCUCGUAUCGGUGUUGCCAAGAGUCGGAAUAAGAGCUACAGAAACAGACUGACACGCACGCGCACACUGGAACCCCACUACCGUUUGAAACCUCAGUCACAGAUACUUCUAAAGCACGAGACAUUCGCCUUCGGUUAGACUGUGCCAUGGAAGCAGUUGAGGACAUAGUCAUUGUCGGAGCAGGGAUAGCAGGACUUGCCACAGCUUUAGGACUUCAUAGGCUGGGCAUAAGAAGCUUG